AACUCUCAACAACGGAUAUCUUGGCUCCCGUAUCGAUGAAGAACGCAGCGAAAUGCGAUACGUAGUGUGAAUUGCAGAAAUUCGUGAACCAUCGAAUCUUUGAACGCAACUUGCGCCCUUCCCUCGGGAAGGGCAUGUCUGCCUCAGCGUCG
Molecule: ribosomal RNA, 152 nt
Filed under: Prototheca cutis
Lineage: Eukaryota; Viridiplantae; Chlorophyta; Trebouxiophyceae; Chlorellales; Chlorellaceae
Description: 5.8S ribosomal RNA
Rfam family: 5.8S ribosomal RNA
About the family: 5.8S ribosomal RNA (5.8S rRNA) is a component of the large subunit of the eukaryotic ribosome. It is transcribed by RNA polymerase I as part of the 45S precursor that also contains 18S and 28S rRNA.
Source: RNAcentral